Aethina tumida (small hive beetle) is the source of this 1062-nucleotide long non-coding RNA. RefSeq lists it as uncharacterized. NCBI's taxonomy places the organism in Eukaryota, Metazoa, Arthropoda, Insecta, Coleoptera, Nitidulidae. The transcript has 7 exons. The record is from RefSeq and is a predicted model, not a curated record.
AAUAUUUUACAUUACAGAUUAUAUUCCCGUGGUGUUUCUAAAAACAAUAUAUUAUUCUUAUUCUUCUGAUUAUUUUCAUUUUUAAAAGAUUAAUUGUUAACAAUAUUAUUGUCCAUUCAGUUUGCAAGCGAAACACUUCGAUGUCAUACGGGUGGCGUGCUCAUCAGGGAAGAUAUAAAAUGGCGUUUUUGGUCGUCCGCUUGUGCUUUGUUCAGUUAUACAUAAUAAACCAUGUGUAUAAAGUAUAAGGUACUUUUAAUGACACCAAUAUUAUUAUAUUAAAUAACCAGUACUGAAUUUUUAAUUAUAACAUAACAGAAAGGAAGAAGCUCUCGACUAAUUGUAAGUUUCUUGGGACAAAGGAGAAAUUAAACUGGCAUGAAUUUUUACGAAGAAAGGAAAUGAAAAUAAUCAGAAACGUAAAUAUAAAAGCAUUUAACCGAGAAACUAAAAAGCUUCCUACCAUGUUGAAAGUUCCUUAGUACAAAUGAAAAACUAAACUGCCAUAUCAUUUUAUGAGGAAAUUACAUGGAAUGUAUCAGAAAUGUAAAUAUAUAAGCAUUUAACCAAGAAACUAAAAAGCUUCCUACCAAGUUGGAAGUUCCUUAGUACAAAUGAAAAACUAAACUAGCAUACUAUUUUAUUAGGAAAUGAUAUAAAAUGAGUCAGAAAUGUAAAUAUAUAAGCAUUUAACCAAGAAAAAACUGUCCACCAAGUUUUAAACUGUCAUGUUAUUUUAUGAGAAAAGGAAAUGAAAUGAAUCAGAAAAGUAAAUAUAAAAGCAUUUAACCAAGAAACUAAAAAGCUUCCCACCAAGUUGUAACUUCCUUAGGACAAAUAAAAAAUUGAACUGGCAUGUUAUUUUAUGAAGAUAGGAAAUGAAAUGAAUCACAAAUAUAAGUUAUAAGGUAUUAGGAUCAUUUACUCGGAAACUACUCAUCGAUUUUACUUUCUUCAGCCACUCGAACCAAUUGAUUAUGUCAAUGUACUUGCACAGCAAAAUAAUUGGGAGAUCUCGGGUUCGAACUCUUAGAACAUUAAUAAAGUCUAUUUUAAUUUGGA